Molecule: non-coding RNA, 3932 nt
Organism: Podarcis lilfordi (Lilford's wall lizard)
Lineage: Eukaryota; Metazoa; Chordata; Lepidosauria; Squamata; Lacertidae
Source: the annotation of a GenBank genome assembly
AAUUGUUGUUGUUGUUGUUGCUUCUAGCUGUCAUUUGAUGCUCUCAGGAUGAAUCACGAUUAAUGCUAUCAUUAGAAUAAAAAAAAAUUAAACCACAAAACCAGCCAUUAACAAAACUAACAAAACAGCUGUACAAAUUCAUACCAGUUUUAUGUCGGUUAAUUAUAGAGAGCUUUUUCUCAGUAAAUCUUGUGCACUGAAGCACUGUUAGGGUGCCUUUAGCUUUUCCUAGUUUCUUCCUCAGCAGUCCCCUAUGUCCUUGACAAUAUCACAUUGGUUGGGAUGCUGUACUGGGUGCUUGAAUGCAAAAACCAGAUAAAUUUAGUUCUGUGUGCCGAAACAGUUUAAUGAUUUACUUUGAAGUUUUGGUUCCCCAUCCUGGUUCAUUUCCCCCUUAUUAAAAUAAAGAUGGUUAGCUUUUGGCUUCAGUGAUUCACAAUGAGUCUUGUAACUUGCCACACCUGUAACUACCUUUAGAGUGCUAAUCUGGCCAAGCAAGAACAGAUCACAAAAAGCAGCCACUGUUUUAAACACUGUUUAAUUGUAAUAACAUUUCAGGCAUGUGUAAUACAUUCGGAUAAAAGCCAAUAACAAUUACUGAUAACAGUGAAUUAAAAAUAACAAAAAAUCUUGAGACUUGCUAAGGAUUAUCUAGUCACAAUGAUAUGGUUUUCCCAACAUCAAAAUGCAAUUUUGUUUCUGCUCUUUCAAACAUCAGGCACAGAUACGGCUCAUUAAUUUGGGAUUAAGCUGGUGGUUACUUACUGUAGCAUGUGAAUGAUUUUCAAAUAUUCUUUGCCCCCAUCCUUAAGAACAGCAGCAUCCCAUGUUGAGGAUGAUCCAAGGGGAUGGGAGGCAAGCGCUACAUGUUAAGCAAAAUACACACAAACACUGUAAUUUAUCAGUGCUGACAUAUUUAUUACACAAUUUGUUCGGAGCAGACUCUGGCGCCGUUUAAAAUAAGCAUUCUCAACAUUCAGAGCAAUUUAUCUAACUCGCUUGGAACAAACUGUCCAGUGGGGCAUGCUCAAAUUUGUAUACAAUUUACAAAGUGUGUUGGACCCCUGUAGAGCUGCUAGAAGUUCUCCUUUUCAACAAGUACUGAGUUGUUUUCUCUGAUUUUAUGUAUUAAACAGGCUUUAUAUACUGCUUAAUCAUAAAAAACCAAGCAGUUUACAGAAAGUAUGUGUUAUGUACUCAGUGGUCUGGACCAGGAUUCUGUGCCCCUCUGUUUUGAUUUGAUACAUGAUAUCCAAUCAUGUAGCAUUGUCAGGAUUUGGGUUGCUGGCAUUGGCUCUUAAGCUCUGAGUUACGAUUCGCAGCUUGGGGUUUUAGACAGCCAAUCACAUUGAGAGUGUGAGUGGCCCAGGACUUCAGAAAGAUGUACAUUAUUAGUUGCUUUGCCCCUGUUGCUCUGUUCUGUUUGCUCAAUAAAGUCUCUUGCUGUAAUCACUAUGUCUCACCUCGUAGAAACUCACGCAUACUUCAGCAUGCAUUCAAAUUAGCCUAUUUCUGCCCCUCAGCCCCCAAAAUUGUGGGAUAUUAACUAACAAAUAUUAAAAUACAUACUGUAUGUUCAUGUCUUGGUAGGCUUGCUUCUUAUCAAUGACACCUUCUGAUAUUUCCUGCUUUCUGGAAAGGCUGGUGAAUGGUGUGGUGGAAUUCUCUGAGGAAUUCUCACACUAUGACCCUCAAUGUUAUAAAAUGCAAAGCCCAUCUAAGAUAGCUUCUUCGUGCAGGAGGGACUUUGUCCCAGAUUUUAUCUUGUGAACCACCAUGAGAUCUUUUGAUGAAGGGUGGUAUAUGAUGAUGAUGAUGAUGAUGAUGUCAGGGAGUUCCAAAGUGUGGCUGUUGCCACACUGAAAUAUUGAUUCUUUGAAAGUGUGGAACAAACACUAUGUGACACUUGUAAAAGUGCCAAUCCCACAGAUUGAAAUGGUUGUGUGUGUGUGUGUGUGUACAGUGCUUUUUUCUAAAAAAAAAAUGUUUAGGGGUACUCUCAUUUUCCUACUCAUAUUGAAAAACUGCCCCUCAAUAAAGCCAAACUUAGAUUCACAAAAUGUUUAGGGGUAUGCGUAACAGAAAAAAGCACUGGGGGGGGGGAGAUAUUGCAAAGAAACUGCUUCAAUAGUAGCAUCUUGAAUUUGAAUUUGGCCCAGUAACAAAUGAGCAGCCCAUACAGAUUUUUGAGCAGAGGUGUAUAUGCUGACAAGGUCUCACUCCUGUCGGCAAUCAUUCUGUAGCAUUUUGUGCCAGUUGCAGUAACUUCCUGCUGAAAUGCCCCCCCCCCCCCCGCUUUAAUAUUACACAUGUUCUAGUUUACUUUUGUCCCACUUCUGUUGUGCCAUGUCCUCUCUGGAAAGCAGUAGUAUUGGCGAAGCAGCACAGAACAAAACAAGGCGGGAAAAGCCUAAUACACCAUUAUUGUGUCAAAAACAUGUUUCAGAAUACACCCACAUAAAACACCAGUCCGAAGGGGCCCUGGGAUCUGUACCAUUAGUUAUCACGUGGUUCCAAGUAUGUGUUGAGAAAAAGCUAGAAAGUGAGUUCAGGUGUACGACUUUGAUGCUGGGCCACAGUUCAGGACUACGCAGGUGAAGAAAAAGGCUUGCAGCAGUAUCAGUUAAUAGAUAACAUUGACCAUUGAGGAAAAUACUAAUUGGAGCCACUGUUGCAGAGAGGGGGAAAUUUGCCUCCCGCCAUGACAAUGAAUGGUUCAGCCCUUACUAAUAGGUAUGGUGAAGAGUACUGCAAUGCACCUCUGGGCAUAAAGGAUACAUCAACACAUGACUACCAAAAUCCUCACAAUAUAUUCAAGCUUUCCUUGCACACAUGCCUACCCAGUCAUAUUGACAUUUUUUCCCCCUAGCUAUAAAUAAGAGCAUCUCUUCCGAUUCCUUCCCAUUAGAUUGUUGUGCCUAUAUUUCAGCAUAGUAACUGCAAGGCAUUUACCUACUGACAAAACUUUAGUGAGCUGUCCAAAUCAUAAAUAUAGUUUGCAAUUGGCUGUGCUGGGUUUUUUGCCUUUUCUUUUUGCAAGCAGAGAUAAAUAACCAGGACCAUGUAAAUCCAUCUUUUCAUAUAUCUCCAUGCUGCCUUCUGAUCUCACAUUCUGUAUAUUCCUCAUACCCUGAAGCAGUGCUUUUUUUUCUAGAAAAAUAGGCGCAGGAACUCCCCCCCCCUUUUUUUUAAGGACAACCCUAUAUUGUUGAGCUUUUUUGGGGGCGGGGGCUUUUUUCAACCCCUGCCCGGUGGCAGAAAACCAGCACUGUAAAGAGAAGUGCUAGAUAAAGUGGUUAGUGGUUGAGAGUGGCAGUCACCAUCUUCAUUUCCCCAAGUCAGCAGCUCAGUCUGAAGGUUUCAAUUUGCUGUCUCUCUUUCCAUUCAGAAAAUCCUCUCUAACCUAGCUUCCAGGUACGUCCUCUUUCUCAUUCUCCUAAGCACAACUGUGUUGUUUUGAAAUUAGCCUUCCAUUCCCACAUCUCCAACAACUCCUUCAGCAUGGAACAAUCAGAUCUCUGUUUCCAACUGGCCCGGUGACAAGAUAAGGGCCUCUUUUCUUCCAGACUAAUACUUUAUUACCAACUAAUAGUUGCUUCAGGGUUUAGGAUAAAAAGUAAAACUCACCACAGGGAGGAUUUCAGAGACUGAGAGUAGCUUUCUGCCAAAUGGUUCACGGCAGCUCAGCAAUUAUCCCAUUCCUUUAUUUCUCAGAAGGAAAGCACGCUCCCCAAGUCUCUUGCUAUAAAACUGUAAAAUCCAUAUAUAUAUAUAUAUAUAUAUAUAUAUAUAUGCACAUGCUGAUUUAACAUGAAAAUUAUAUUCAUUGUAAAUGUUUUCCUGGCAAUUUGCUUGUCAUAAAUGUCAAUUGCAGUGAAAAAUCUCGGUGGGGAACUGGAUGUGUUUAUUCCGUACGUAGCGAUGAUUUGUUU